This is a long non-coding RNA of Crotalus tigris (Tiger rattlesnake), 2378 nucleotides long. RefSeq lists it as uncharacterized. The record is from RefSeq and is a predicted model, not a curated record. NCBI's taxonomy places the organism in Eukaryota, Metazoa, Chordata, Lepidosauria, Squamata, Viperidae. The transcript has 6 exons.
UCUAUCCCUCUGUUAAUGCAGCCUAGCACUGUGUUGGCCUUUUUGACAGCUGCAGCACACGGCUGGCUCAUAUUUAGGUGAUUGUCUACUAGGACUCCGAGGUCCCUAACAAAACCUCAGUAAAGUUAUUUCAAGAAUUGUGAAUCAAAAGAAAAAUCAAUGGCAUAUUUAUCUUUAUCAAGAUCCAGGCUGUGCUGAUAUUAAGUCAUCAGACAAAGUCAUUCUUAUUCUAAGUUGUAUUUAAAUGGUAUUCAAAAUGGUAUUUAACUUGAGAAAAAAUAAUCUUAAGAAUUUUUUUUCUGCUUCUUUCCAAGAUCUUAGUGAAAAGCUUAAAUCUGAUUUUAUACUAUUUCUGCCCAAGCAACUACAUUAGCUGGAAGACAUCAGUGGCAAAGUAAUCACUACAAUAAAUAAAUAAACCGAAAGGGAAGAAUGAGACUGUGUGAAAUUAUAGAAUUAUAGCACAAAUUAUAGCAAAUUAUAGCACAAAGUCCAGAAGCAGUAUCCAAGUACAAACAAAAGUACUUAUAUUCUUUUCUUUUAUCAAAACUGUCAGUUUAGCCAUCUCUGCUAACUCCAUCAGCUUUUGUAACCGUUCAUCCAAGAUGGGAAUGGAAGCAUCCUUCCAGGAAUUCCAGGAUUCCUAGGACUACAGCAAGUUUUCUCUGACCACACAGAUCCAUCUCUGCUGAUCUCCUGCAGCAGCUCAAAUAAAUCAGCCAUUAACCCAGGUUUGAAGUCUGACUCAAAGAUGAAUUAGCUGACAGGAAUGCAAGGAAAAGAAAUGCGAACAGCAGAUAAAGGAUCUUCAUGCUGAGACUGGUUCUGGACAAAAUCUUACUCCUUGGACAGACUUGGCUCUCUAUUUAUGGAGUUGUAAUGAUUGCAUCAUAUCACCUCAGUGAACUGUUGCAAAAUAGUUCUUACCUAAGGCAACGGUGCAUCUUCCUUGUAUUGAAACACUCCUGUUUGUUAGCUGUUACAAAAGCCCUGAGAAGAGCAGCAGACUUAGUUGAACAUCUAACCUGCUAUGGCUAUAAAAGAUGGGAGGCUCAGGACUUGCAGUGUCUGAAUGGGUCAAAGAAAAUUCCUUACUGAAUUGCUGCCCAAACUCUACAGUCCACGAUGAUAAUGCUCGGCCAGGUUCACCAAUGGCUGGACUAUGGGAAGAGCCCUUAGAAAGUCUCAACAUCUUUUUUUACAUUGUGGUGACCAAAACUGGAGGCAGAAGUCCAAGUGUGGCCUUACCACUCCUUAUUAGGAGUCCUGUGAGACACAGAAGAUCAACUGAAAUUGAGAAGGAGAACUGGGUUCCAAAAGCUGUCAGUAUGAGAAUUGCUUCAGAGGCUCUGAGUGAUAAAAGUCAAUUCCCUUUUUUCCAUCCGAUGCUCCCCAAAGAAGGGAUCCAGUAUCCAGGAAUUGUCCAAAUUCUCCUCCAUUUUGGAUGGACCCUGAUUGGUCUCUUUGCAACAGACACAGAGUAGGGAGAAAAUUUCAUGAGAAAUUUUAAUCCUAUGCUUGUCAAGAAUAGAAUUUGUGUUGCUAUUUCACAACAAUUCUCAAUGACUGGACAUACCCCAUUCCUCAGGGACGCCCUCUCUAAGUGGAGACAAGUCAACGUCUUUGUUAACUUCAUAGAAUUUGAUUCCCUUUUGGACAGUAUUCUUCCCAUCCAUUCAGCACUUGAAAGUUUGCCAGGACCCAUUGAAGGGAAAGUCUGGAUCAUGACCGUGGCUGCAGUAUUUUCAAUUAAAAAAGAUUGGUGUCUCAAGCACGUCCACAGUAUUUGGAGUUUUCCCUGUCAGUGGAAAGAGAGUUGGAAAUAUGAUAAUGCCUUUAAAAGAGAUUUCUUUGUGGAACCUGAAUUUCAAGCUGAGUAUUUUCACUGUUCUGUUUCAAAACACACCUUUUCUGUCAAAGGCCGGAGAAGAUGCACCCAGAAAGCACCAGUGGAGUCCCAAGAGAAAACGAAUAGGAUGCAGAUCGCAAAUCCUUUCAUUACUUACAGUGUCAUAAAGAUUCUGGCCCACGCCUUAAGUGCUGCAUCCCAACCCCAGAGGAGAAGGAAGAAGGGUGAAGAGAGGUUGGGGGCUCCAAGGCUGCAACUAUGGAAGUUCCAUCCAUUUCUAAAGAAGAGGGAAUUGUACAAUCUUUCCCUGCUGAAAGUGUACUUGGAUCAGAAUGAAAACGUAGUAGCAGAUCUUGAGUAGGGUGGUUCUUCCCAAGGAGGAUCCCAUCAACAAGCAAUUGGGGAUUUUUGAAAGACAGAGACUUACAAUCAACCAAGAUGCUUUGUCACAGUUAAAGUUGCUCAACAAGACUUUGUUAAGUAGAAAGCUACUUUUUUGUAAUCUGAUAUGUCAGAAGAAAAAGGGACG